GAUGAACGCUAGCUACAGGCUUAACACAUGCAAGUCGAGGGGAAACGAUAGAGAAAGCUUGCUUUUUCUAGGCGUCGACCGGCGCACGGGUGAGUAACGCGUAUCCAACCUGCCCAUCACUUGGGGAUAACCUUGCGAAAGUAAGACUAAUACCCAAUGACGUCUCUAGAAGACAUCUGAAAGAGAUUAAAGAUUUAUCGGUGAUGGAUGGGGAUGCGUCUGAUUAGCUUGUUGGCGGGGUAACGGCCCACCAAGGCGACGAUCAGUAGGGGUUCUGAGAGGAAGGCCCCCCACAUUGGAACUGAGACACGGUCCAAACUCCUACGGGAGGCAGCAGUGAGGAAUAUUGGUCAAUGGACGAGAGUCUGAACCAGCCAAGUAGCGUGCAGGAUGACGGCCCUAUGGGUUGUAAACUGCUUUUAUAAGGGAAUAAAGUGGGAGUCGUGACUCUUUUGCAUGUACCUUAUGAAUAAGGACCGGCUAAUUCCGUG
Molecule: ribosomal RNA, 491 nt
Filed under: uncultured bacterium
Lineage: Bacteria
Description: bacterial SSU rRNA
Rfam family: Bacterial small subunit ribosomal RNA
Source: RNAcentral